UGGGGAAUAUUGCACAAUGGGCGAAAGCCUGAUGCAGCGACGCCGCGUGGGGGAUGACGGCCUUCGGGUUGUAAACCUCUUUCAGCAAGGAAGAAGCGAAAGUGACGGUACUUGCAGAAGAAGCGCCGGCUAACUACGUGCCAGCAGCCGCGGUAAUACGUAGGGCGCAAGCGUUGUCCGGAAUUAUUGGGCGUAAAGGGCUUGUAGGUGGCUUGUCGCGUCUGCCGUGAAAACUCGAGGCUUAACCUUGGGCGUGCGGUGGGUACGGGCAGGCUAGAGUGCGGUAGGGGAGACUGGAAUUCCUGGUGUAGCGGUGAAAUGCGCAGAUAUCAGGAGGAACACCGAUGGCGAAGGCAGGUCUCUGGGCCGUUACUGACACUGAGAAGCGAAAGCAGGGGGAGCGAACAGG
RNAcentral lists this ribosomal RNA (409 nucleotides) under Actinomycetes bacterium. RNAcentral describes it as "Actinobacteria bacterium partial 16S ribosomal RNA". It matches the Rfam family "Bacterial small subunit ribosomal RNA", at positions 355 to 776 of the family's 1533-position model. The record is from RNAcentral. Lineage: Bacteria; Bacillati; Actinomycetota; Actinomycetes.